This 395-nucleotide long non-coding RNA is filed under the name Pan troglodytes (chimpanzee). RNAcentral's name for it is "long non-coding RNA NONPTRT000021". Lineage: Eukaryota; Metazoa; Chordata; Mammalia; Primates; Hominidae. The record is from RNAcentral.
CAACAAUCCAGUAACAACCCAGAGGUCACCACCCUUCCCAACAAUCCAGUAACAAUCCAGAGGUCACCACCCCUUCCCAACAAUCCAGUAACAAUCCAGAGGUCACCACCCUUCCCAACAAUCCAGUAACAAUCCAGAGGUCACCACCCUUCCCAACAAUCCAGUAACAAUCCAGAGGUCACCACCCUUCCCAACAAUCCACUAACAAUCCAGAGGCCACCACCCUUCCCAACAAUCCACUAACAAUCCAGAGGUCACCACCCCUUCCCAACAAUCCAGUAACAAUCCAGAGGUCACCACCCUUCCCAACAAUCCAGUAACAACCCAGAGGUCACCACCCCUUCCCAACAAUCCAGUAACAAUCCAGAGGCCACCACCCCUUCCCAACAAUCCAC